Non-coding RNA from Apiotrichum porosum, 85 nucleotides. NCBI's taxonomy places the organism in Eukaryota, Fungi, Basidiomycota, Tremellomycetes, Trichosporonales, Trichosporonaceae. The record is from the annotation of a RefSeq genome assembly.
UACCCUAUGGCUCAGUUGGUUAGCGCGUGGAGCUGUUACUUGCUUACAUACUCCGAGGUCCCAGGUUCGAGCCCUGGUGGGGUAG